CGCUGCUAUCUGCAGUCGAGCGGACAGAAGGGAGCUUGCUCCCGGAUGUUAGCGGCGGACGGGUGAGUAACACGUGGGUAACCUGCCUGUAAGACUGGGAUAACUCCGGGAAACCGGAGCUAAUACCGGAUAGUUCCUUGAACCGCAUGGUUCAAGGAUGAAAGACGGUUUCGGCUGUCACUUACAGAUGGACCCGCGGCGCAUUAGCUAGUUGGUGAGGUAACGGCUCACCAAGGCGACGAUGCGUAGCCGACCUGAGAGGGUGAUCGGCCACACUGGGACUGAGACACGGCCCAGACUCCUACGGGAGGCAGCAGUAGGGAAUCUUCCGCAAUGGACGAAAGUCUGACGGAGCAACGCCGCGUGAGUGAUGAAGGUUUUCGGAUCGUAAAGCUCUGUUGUUAGGGAAGAACAAGUGCAAGAGUAACUGCUUGCACCUUGACGGUACCUAACCAGAAAGCCACGGCUAACUACGUGCCAGCAGCCGCGGUAAUACGUAGGUGGCAAGCGUUGUCCGGAAUUAUUGGGCGUAAAGGGCUCGCAGGCGGUUUCUUAAGUCUGAUGUGAAAGCCCCCGGCUCAACCGGGGAGGGUCAUUGGAAACUGGGAAACUUGAGUGCAGAAGAGGAGAGUGGAAUUCCACGUGUAGCGGUGAAAUGCGUAGAGAUGUGGAGGAACACCAGUGGCGAAGGCGACUCUCUGGUCUGUAACUGACGCUGAGGAGCGAAAGCGUGGGGAGCGAACAGGAUUAGAUACCCUGGUAGUCCACGCCGUAAACGAUGAGUGCUAAGUGUUAGGGGGUUUCCGCCCCUUAGUGCUGCAGCUAACGCAUUAAGCACUCCGCCUGGGGAG
Molecule: ribosomal RNA, 851 nt
Filed under: uncultured bacterium
Lineage: Bacteria
Description: bacterial SSU rRNA
Rfam family: Bacterial small subunit ribosomal RNA
Source: RNAcentral